RNAcentral lists this ribosomal RNA (292 nucleotides) under uncultured bacterium. RNAcentral describes it as "partial 16S ribosomal RNA". It matches the Rfam family "Bacterial small subunit ribosomal RNA", at positions 505 to 796 of the family's 1533-position model. The record is from RNAcentral.
GUGUCAGCAGCCGCGGUAAUACAGGGGGGGCAAGCGUUGUUCGGAAUUACUGGGCGUAAAGGGUUCGUAGGUGGCUCACUAAGUCACACGUGAAAUCCCUCAGCUUAACUGGGGAACUGCGUGUGAAACUGGAGAGCUUGAGGGUAGGAGAGGAAUGCGGAAUUCCAGGUGUAGCGGUGAAAUGCGUAGAUAUCUGGAGGAACACCGGUGGCGAAGGCGGCAUUCUGGACUAUUUCUGACACUGAUGAACGAAAGCCAGGGGAGCAAACGGGAUUAGAUACCCUGGUAGUCC